GAGAAAGAUUUAAAAGGACAUUGCCAGCAAAGUUUUUAUGUUCCAGUUUUCAAACAAAGGUAAAAAUGAUGUUCCGAAUUCCUUUAAAAGUAUGUAAAAACGGUGUUAUCUAAGAAGAGAUGACGAAAAUCAUUGACAGUACUGAAACUUAGAGAGGAUACCUUCAGUUUCCUGGGAAUUCACGUGUGCAAAUGGCUCAUUCUUAUGCGGGGAGAUAACUAAGUUACUGUACUGUCUUACUUUGGCCCUCAUUAUUUCCUAUAUUUAUUAUUAUCUCCUACGCUCUCUGAACUAUGGAACCAAAGAUUUACUUGUGUUCGGUCCACUCCUAGGCUACUCACAGAAGUAGAUAACACAAAAACUUACAGCAAAAGAAAAUAGAAAUGGAGCCAGGAAAACCUGAGAUCAAAUUCCAGGACUGAAUAAUAUCAACUUAAUUUAAAGCCCUUACAAACUUGUUGGUAGCGACCCAUAGCUCCACGUCAACCCACCAUGCUUUUAUCAAUAUCAAGUAUUUGAUGUUUGUUUUUCAGGCUGGAUCAAACUGAAGGGAAGACUGGGGACCAAAAGAAGAUAAAACAUGGUCUCAGAACUUGAUCAUGUAGCAUACACAAGCUGCUACCACAAUUCAGAGGUUCAUUUGACAACCAGUUGUUAGAAGUCUUUUCUUCUCACAGAGUUGUUAUGUAGCAAUUAGAUGGCUUCCUGGUACCUAAUAAUUAGUCAACAGAUGUUUGGAUGCUGGAAGUUCAGGUUAAAUGUGAAGCAACAUGCUGAGAUCCCCACCUUGCAGACUCUCCCAGAGACUGCUCCCUGGUGUCUCCUCCAUGCGCCCACAUCUUCUCCAUGGUAAGUGUCAUUUCUCCUAGAACUGUGGAGGAACUCAUUCAGAUGUCUGAUUUGUCUGUGAUGAGUAUUUUAUCAGUUGCUUCCUACCAAUGCAAAGUGCUACAUACUUGUCAUAAUAUUCAAGUUUCUUGAGAUGAUACUUUGUGCUAAGAGACAACAUCACCCUCUUUUUACUGAUCAUCAGCCUCAGGUCACACAACUAGAAAUCACGGAAUGGAAAUGCAAACAAAACAUCUUUCUUUCACAGCUUCAAAGGCUUAUACUGAAAGGACAGCAGAAACAAGGCAACCUAACUUUUACAAGACUAUCAGGACUUGGGUCCAAGCAAGACUCUUACGAUUUAGACCACGCCUUUAAGAGCAGAUAUCACACAAAAUGAGCACCACAAGUGUAUACCAGAGUGUAAAAAAGAGUGUUUUGAACGCACCAAAUCUCUAAGGUAUACGAGAACAUAGUGGAGGAGUUCAACACCUCAUCCGUAGCUUUAACCAUAUUAAUAGAUGUUCAAGGAUGGUAAAGCUAAUGCUUACUACAUCGUAGGAAAGUCACAUGAGCACUGCUGAACAAAUCACAGUACAACUAUAAUUAAUUCCCUUGUGAAAAUAAAGGUGACAGAAACUAAAGUCAGGAGCUGUUUAGGAAAAGGUUUGAUGAAGAAUCUGAACCUUUGAUUAGAAUGGUUUUGAUCCUUGGUUUUUAUUUCUUCCCUGCUUUUACUUUCUUCUUACCCACUAACAUGAAUCACUAAUGUCUCCUUCCAGUUCUUAAACAAAAUUACCCAUUCAUAACUAUGUACCAAAUAAAUGGUUCAUUAUUAAAAAGCAAUUGGAACAAAAAUCACUCACAUAUUAACUGUGAACAAUGGUCAUCAUUUGAAUUACAUGAAAAGGAUUUUUUUCCUAAGAACAUGCUUUGUGAUAAGAUUGUUGUUUUCUAAAAAAAAAAAAAAA
Cricetulus griseus (Chinese hamster) is the source of this 1799-nucleotide non-coding RNA. The record is from RefSeq and is a predicted model, not a curated record. NCBI's taxonomy places the organism in Eukaryota, Metazoa, Chordata, Mammalia, Rodentia, Cricetidae.